Molecule: long non-coding RNA, 1262 nt
Filed under: Monodelphis domestica (gray short-tailed opossum)
Lineage: Eukaryota; Metazoa; Chordata; Mammalia; Didelphimorphia; Didelphidae
Description: lncRNA (ENSMODG00000034767.2)
Source: RNAcentral
CUGGGGUUCAAUUCUCCAUUUUUACAUUUCCCUGUGUGAUCUUUUGGGAAGAAGGACUUCCCCAAAGGAUCAUGAAAACAUAAUCAAUUUAAAGAUUACAAUAAUUUGAGGAUAAGAAAAAAAAGAACAAAACCAAUAAUUGCUGGAUGCAUUGACAAAAAACCAGUUAGGGGGCAGUCCCCUUUGGCAUGAAAGUAUACAUACAAAUAACUGUUCAAUCAAUCACACCCAAAGUUCAUUCUUGAUCUUCUUGUGCAGCUUGUGGUCUGGAGGCUUCUUCACGGUGUCUUCUCCAACAGUUCAGUUUCUGGAUUCAAAGAGUAUUUUGGGAGCCCAGAACCUUUCUUUUUUAACCAAAGUGAUUAAAAGGAGGAGGAAGAAAGGAACUCAGAAGAAUUCUUGUCUGAGAUCACAUCAGAAUCAGAAUUUGAAUCCAGGUUAGCUGAGAUUGUCUGCCCUUGGGCCUGUCUGCAGCUUCAGGUGAUUGAAGACUUUCAACUCUCUGAACUCUGAGGAAGCUUAUGAGAAGCAAAUCCAAACUGGGCCAGUUCCCUUGGCCCAGUUCAGAUGGAUCACUGUUCCUUACAUUAUCAGGUGAAUGAAUUACUAAUGAUGGAAAUGACCAGGGUUUUUUUGAAGUUCAUUGGAAGAACCAUCAAUGUUACUCUCUAUAACUGGAGCAAAUAGCAGUAAACACUGAACUUAGAAAGAGCAGCAGUCAUUUUCAAAGAAGAGGCUUUAUAGAAUCCAAACUACCUAUGUGACGUCGCAGCUGAGAUUCUGCUUCCCACAAGGAGUCAGACCAUAGAUAAGACUGAAGUAAACUUGGUGGUCGCUCAAGGGAGAGAGAAAAAAGGAGUCCCUGAACCCCUUAACCUCCUGUAUUCAUUACACAUGUGCCUUGCAUUUUAAACUUGAGAUCACUUUUUCUAGGAACCCUGUGUUCAUAAAGGGAAAUGAGGUACUCUCAGUUUGGGAGAUGUUUCUGCAAUCUCUCACCUCGCUAUAGCUUUUUAGUAAACAUGCUUAUAUAAAAACUUCAUAAUACCAACUGGUUUUUUGAUAGGGGAAGAACAUAAGGCUUCUGAGCAAUGAUAGUAGAAGUCACAUCCCUUCCAGGUUAUCCUGGGUUAUCAGUCUGCUGAAAAUGCCAAUGAAGGUUGGGAGAAUGAAUCCAAAGAGGGUAUCAUACAGAUUCACAUGAAUUUUAUUGUUGUUUUGAUGCAACUUUUCAAACUUCAAAUACAAAUAUGAAUCCUCUG